UACGUAGGGCGCAAGCGUUAUCCGGAAUUAUUGGGCGUAAAGAGCUCGUAGGCGGUUUGUCGCGUCUGCCGUGAAAGUCCGGGGCUCAACUCCGGAUCUGCGGUGGGUACGGGCAGACUAGAGUGAUGUAGGGGAGGCUGGAAUUCCUGGUGUAGCGGUGAAAUGCGCAGAUAUCAGGAGGAACACCGAUGGCGAAGGCAGGUCUCUGGGCAUUAACUGACGCUGAGGAGCGAAAGCAUGGGGAGCAAACAGG
RNAcentral lists this ribosomal RNA (253 nucleotides) under uncultured bacterium. Its description in RNAcentral is "partial 16S ribosomal RNA". It matches the Rfam family "Bacterial small subunit ribosomal RNA", at positions 524 to 776 of the family's 1533-position model. The record is from RNAcentral.